ACGAACGCUGGCGGCGUGCUUAACACCUGCAAGUCGAACGGAAAGGCCCUGCUUGCAGGGUACUCGAGUGGCGAACGGGUGAGUAACACGUGGGUGAUCUGCCCUGCACUUCGGGAUAAGCUUGGGAAACUGGGUCUAAUACCGGAUAGGAACCAUCUUUAGUGUGGUGGUUGGAAAGUUUUUUCGGUGUAGGAUGAGCUCGCGGCCUAUCAGCUUGUUGGUGGGGUAAUGGCCUACCAAGGCGGCGACGGGUAGCCGGCCUGAGAGGGUGUACGGCCACACUGGGCCUGUGAGACGGCCCAGAGUCCUACGGGAGGCAGCAGUGGGGAAUGUUGCACAAUGGGCGCAAGCCUGAUGCAGCGACGCCGCGUGGGGGAUGAAGGCCUUCGGGUUGUAAACUCCUUUCGCUAGGGACGAAGCGUUGUUGUGACGGUACCUAGAUAAGAAGCACCGGCUAACUACGUG
This 465-nucleotide ribosomal RNA is filed under the name uncultured bacterium. RNAcentral's name for it is "partial 16S ribosomal RNA". It matches the Rfam family "Bacterial small subunit ribosomal RNA", at positions 29 to 507 of the family's 1533-position model. The record is from RNAcentral.